This 490-nucleotide long non-coding RNA is filed under the name Lupinus angustifolius (narrow-leaved blue lupine). RNAcentral's name for it is "long non-coding RNA (LANG_LNC002793)". Lineage: Eukaryota; Viridiplantae; Streptophyta; Magnoliopsida; Fabales; Fabaceae. The record is from RNAcentral.
UUCGGGUUAGUUACGGUCAUGACAGCAUGAAGUUUGUUUUAUGGAACCGUGAGUGUGAACAAUUGAUCAAACAACCUGCAACUGAUCUUCGUGAAUUAUUGUUAUCGGUAUCAUUAACCUACUUCAUUGAACAUAUAUUUACUUAGUGUGCCUUCUCAAACUGUUACUUACUUUGCCUUUGUUAUAUGUGUAGGAGGGUGAACUAAACCCAAUGUCCAUUCCACAGGCUGUUGAUGACAUUGUUACAAAUGUAUUGGCAUUCAAAGUCAAAGUCCAACCAAACUACAAACGAUGUUCUGUUAUACAAGUUUCAGAUGACUCUCAACUUAUUGCAUGCUUAUUGGACAAAAUUACUCCAGAUGUGGUAUGUUUCUUUAUUAUUAUAAAAAGUUUGUUUCUAUGUAAGUUUAUUGUUUCUCACAAUAUGUGAGUGUAGAACACCAAGACUGAUGAGAAGGGGAAGUCUAUUGCUAACGUGGGCAAGGAGGAG